CAGACACAUACCAUGAUGGGCACCACUUCCUGCUCUGGGCAGAAUGACAAGGAAAGCUGCUUGGACACGUUCACAUCCAACAUGUGAUGUUUCCAGAUCCAAGUUUUCUUCUGGAACUUUCCCUGCCCAGACCUUGGUGUUCUGAGCCAAAGUCUCCCUCUGUUGCCCAGGCCUGGCCUUGAAUUUUCAAUCCUUCUGCCUCUAGGAAGAAAGGUGUGCACCUUCCUUUGGAGUGGUUUUGACCUGGCUUUGUUGAAUGCAACAUAGGUACAGGAACUUGAAAACAGCCUGGCAGUCAGAGGGCUAACAUGGCACAAAGGCAAAGACUCGGGAACACGGCUGCACCAAUACCAUCCUGAAUGCAAUACUAUGUGUUGCCAGAUACUACGUUGAUUGACAGGUCUCACAGCAUAGAAACCUGACCUCUGCCAGUGGAGAAACUAUGCUAAGAACUUUCUCUGAUGCAGAAGACGCCAGAUGGUCUAAUCGUACCGUGUCAGGACAAGUCAGCUCUCACCCCAGAGGCUUCUUUUUUGAGAUACCACCAGAUAGUCUCACAACCUCUACAUGCAAGACAGAGGUACUCGGCUCUACAUGAGAUGGUUAUAUCACCUCCUGCCAUCAAGGCGCAGGGAUCUUAGGGAAGAGGGGCGAGAAAGUGCUGAGAUACUAAGUUUCUGAGGUGCCUAGAAUGGAGCCAAGUGCCUCAAGCAUGCAGGACCAGUGCUCUACCCACUGCAAGGCCCUGUCAAUACCCUGGGAUUACGUGAGACCUGAUCCACGCUGUACCCAGACUGCCCUCCUCAAUACUUGAAUAUACUGGGAACUGAUGAACAGUGAGCAAAAAGCAAGUGCAUGAGAGAACCAGGACUAAGGAGGUAGAGGUAAGAAGAUUGCUUCAACUUCAAAGUCACUCUGGGCAAUACAGAAUUCUAAGUCAGUUAUGGCUAAACUGCCCAAGGCUAUCUCAAAAAACAAGUGAGAGCUGGUGAGAUGGUUCUGUGGGUUAGAGCGCUUUCCAAGUCUGGGUAGCAGUUAAGAGCAUCAACCGCUCUUCUAG
Molecule: non-coding RNA, 1060 nt
Organism: Myodes glareolus (Bank vole)
Lineage: Eukaryota; Metazoa; Chordata; Mammalia; Rodentia; Cricetidae
Source: RefSeq, a predicted model, not a curated record